This 478-nucleotide ribosomal RNA is filed under the name uncultured bacterium. RNAcentral describes it as "partial 16S ribosomal RNA". It matches the Rfam family "Bacterial small subunit ribosomal RNA", at positions 28 to 507 of the family's 1533-position model. The record is from RNAcentral.
GAUGAACGCUAGCGGCAGGCCUAACACAUGCCAGUCGAGGGAGAAGCCCUUUCGGGGGCAGAAACCGGCGCACGGGUGCGUAACGCGUAUGCAACCUACCUUUCACAGGGGGAUAGCCCGAAGAAAUUUGGAUUAAUACCCCAUAAUAUUAUUGGAUGGCAUCAUUUGAUAAUUAAAACUGCGGUGGUGAAAGAUGGGCAUGCGUCCUAUUAGCUAGUUGGAGUGGUAACGGCACCCCAAGGCUACGAUAGGUAGGGGUCCUGAGGGGGAGAUCCCCCACACUGGUACUGAGACAGGGACCAGACUCCUACGGGAGGCAGCAGUGAUGAAUAUUGGUAAAUGGUCGGAAGACUGAACCAGCCAUGCCGCGUGCAGGAAGAAUGCCUUAUGGGUUGUAAACUGCUUUUAUAUGGGAAGAAUAAGGUGUACGUGUACAUUGAUGACGGUACCAUAUGAAUAAGCAUCGGCUAACUCCGUG